This 254-nucleotide ribosomal RNA is filed under the name uncultured bacterium. RNAcentral's name for it is "partial 16S ribosomal RNA". It matches the Rfam family "Bacterial small subunit ribosomal RNA", at positions 524 to 777 of the family's 1533-position model. The record is from RNAcentral.
UACGAAGGGGGCUAGCGUUGCUCGGAAUCACUGGGCGUAAAGCGCACGUAGGCGGCUUUCUAAGUCAGGGGUGAAAUCCUGGAGCUCAACUCCAGAACUGCCUUUGAUACUGGAGAGCUUGAGUCCGGGAGAGGUGAGUGGAACUCCGAGUGUAGAGGUGAAAUUCGUAGAUAUUCGGAAGAACACCAGUGGCGAAGGCGGCUCACUGGCCCGGUACUGACGCUGAUGUGCGAAAGCGUGGGGAGCAAACAGGG